GAGGUGACGUAGAUGGAGAAGGAGGUGCAAGCUAAGUUCUGCGGUGUGGGGUCUUGAAGGAGCCCAUCGUAAAAGAAAGUGGAGGAGGAACGGUGACUGCAAGGGUAACGGCAUCAACAUCGAUAGCAAUCUCUCUCCCUCUGUCUUCCUUUUUCCCUCUGAUUCUUCCUUGCCAUUGCCGACUCCUCCGGCUCCCUCCUCUGGCUCUCCGACAACCCC
RNAcentral lists this long non-coding RNA (219 nucleotides) under Elaeis guineensis (African oil palm). RNAcentral's name for it is "long non-coding RNA (EGUI_LNC067982)". Lineage: Eukaryota; Viridiplantae; Streptophyta; Magnoliopsida; Arecales; Arecaceae. The record is from RNAcentral.